UUCGGGGUACUCGAGCGGCGAACGGGUGAGUAACACGUGAGUAAUCUGCCCCAGGCUCUGGGAUAGCCACCGGAAACGGUGAUUAAUACCGGAUAUGACAACCGAUCGCAUGAUCUGGUUGUGGAAAGUUUUUCGGCCUGGGAUGUGCUCGCGGCCUAUCAGCUUGUUGGUGAGGUAAUGGCUCACCAAGGCUUCGACGGGUAGCCGGCCUGAGAGGGUGACCGGCCACACUGGGACUGAGACACGGCCCAGACUCCUACGGGAGGCAGCAGUGGGGAAUAUUGGACAAUGGGCGGAAGCCUGAUCCAGCAACGCCGCGUGAGGGAUGACGGCCUUCGGGUUGUAAACCUCUUUCAGCACAGACGAAGCGAAAGUGACGGUAUGUGCAGAAGAAGGACCGGCCAACUACGUGCCAGCAGCCGCGGUAAUACGUAGGGUCCGAGCGUUGUCCGGAAUUAUUGGGCGUAAAGGGCUCGUAGGCGGUCUGUCGCGUCGGGAGUGAAAACCAGGUGCUUAACACCUGGCCUGCUUCCGAUACGGGCAGACUAGAGGUACUCAGGGGAGAAUGGAAUUCCUGGUGUAGCGGUGAAAUGCGCAGAUAUCAGGAGGAACACCGGUGGCGAAGGCGGUUCUCUGGGAGUAUCCUGACGCUGAGGAGCGA
This 661-nucleotide ribosomal RNA is filed under the name Nocardioides sp. RNAcentral's name for it is "bacterial SSU rRNA". It matches the Rfam family "Bacterial small subunit ribosomal RNA", at positions 81 to 756 of the family's 1533-position model. Lineage: Bacteria; Bacillati; Actinomycetota; Actinomycetes; Propionibacteriales; Nocardioidaceae. The record is from RNAcentral.